This is a long non-coding RNA of Lynx canadensis (Canada lynx), 3714 nucleotides long. RefSeq lists it as uncharacterized. Lineage: Eukaryota; Metazoa; Chordata; Mammalia; Carnivora; Felidae. The record is from RefSeq and is a predicted model, not a curated record. The transcript is spliced from 4 exons.
UAAAAUAAAGCAAAAUAGACUGGGCAAUUCAUUAGUUUUAAUAGAAGUGUAUACCUAUAGAACUCUACCACAAUUAAGAUAUAAAACAUUUCCAUCCCCCCCAAAAUAUUUCUUGUGCCCCCUUUGCCAUCCAUGCCCCCUUCCAGCGUGUCCCAGGGAACUACGGAUUGGCUUUUCACACUCUAGGUUAACUUGCUUUUUCUGUAAUUUUUUAUAACUGGAAUUGUAUGUUAUGUACUCUAUUUUGGUGGGCAGGGGCUGUCUGCCUUCUUUCACUCAGCAUGAUUUUCAGAUUUAUCUAUGUAGUUGCCUUUAACAGUAGUUCUUCCCAAGUAGCAUCCCAUUGUGUGGGUCUUUGUGUAUCCACUUUGUGUAUCACUUUGUGUGUACACACUUUUGUGUAUCACUUUGUGUAUCCAUUCUCCUGCAGAAGGAUGUUAGGUUGUUUCCAGUUUGGGGCAAUUGUGGUUAAAGCUGCCAUGACAAUUCACGCACACGUCUUGAACCCCUGCAUGGACUCUUCCAUGAGUUUUUCACUGAACUAUUUCAACUUCUUACUGAGUCGCUGUCUCUAGUCUUUCUCUGUGGCAAUACAGCCUACACACUGCUCCCAGAACGUUCUUCCAAGGGCACAGUUCUGAUGAUAUUACACCUUUACCGAUGUCUCACAGUCUAUAAGUGAAUCCAAACUCUUAAUUGCCACCAACAUCCAAAUAUCUAUCCCCAUCCCUCAUAACCUACCCUUGGCACUUUCCUGUGGCCACACCAAACCCUACUCCCCUCUGGAAGUGCCCUCCAUGAUCCCGGACACUUGGCCCUUCCCCCUCUCCUUCCCCCUUCCCCAUCGCUGUCCCUCUGAGGCACUGCAACCAUUUCAGGUGUGGAAGAAGGGCCUCCGCUUCCCUGAAAUUCAAAUUCACAUUGGCUGUCGAUCCCUCCUUUAAGUCUCCAACACUCUUUUGUGCUUCUCACGAAGCCACAGUUCUUCCAGGUGGCACCCUGCCUGUUGAGUAAACAUGUGAGUAAAUUUAUCACCUGUGUGCAGGACGUAGCCAAAUGUGGCUCAUCCCACAUCACUGGGAAACGAAACAAAACACUGAGUUAUCCAGGUAACUGAAGUGCAAUCCGCAUUGAAAAUACGAAACCUUUUAUGGAAAUAUUUCCAGAAUGAGUUACAAAUGCCUCUACCUUCUGAACCAGAUUUAGGUGAGCGUAAUUGAGACAUUGUAAUGGGUCAGGGUAAUCACUAUAAUCAUCAUUUAUAGAUUUGCGUUGUGGUACGGGGAUGUCCACGGGGCAGCUGUGUGCGGAAUUUUCGCCCCUUCACUAAAUGACCCCAUACGGCGAUCCUUUUGUACUUUUAUUUCCUUCCUCCAUUAGGCUGUCAUUUCUUACAGCACCGUGCCUCGUUACGGCCUUAUGUUACUCAUAAUUACCAAUGCGUGGCCUGCAGGGUAAAGAAAUAGGUUUUGUUCAACUGCAUAGACAUCACAUUCUUAAAGAUAGAGAUCAUGUGGUUGCAAUAAAAUCAUCCCAGGCACAAUCUAGAGAACGGCUCAUCCGUGAGAGCUGUUUGUUAGUUCAUGCAGAUUAGGUCCUGAGCAAAGGAAAGGCGGCCCAGAAAGAAGUGAAUUGGUGAUUUCUUGCUGUUUAGCUGCAGAACCGAGACCGGAAGCCAAGUUCGAGUGCUCACCACGGGACAUACUCUUUCCCUCACAAUUUGUUUUCAGAAAGUACGGAUGCGGGAUUCUUCUCUGGUUUACCCCACAUUUUGGGUGGCUGAGUUUCUGGAAGCAUAGCCAUCAGAUAAGUAUGAUUUGACCUUGUAAAUAUUUACACAUGUGGACCUCCUGGUCUUCCAAUGAACUUUUUUGGGCCAAUGAGAUUGAGGAUCAUGCCAGCAGCUGGCAAAGGGAGAAAGGGGGAGUUCCUUGGUGUGUAGGUGUCCCCAAAGGGGUCAGCUACUCAAUGUGCCAGAGCUUGGGCUAUCAGAUCGUAUGUGCUCUGCCCCCAAAGCUCCCCAUCAUCAUCUUCCACAUCGGUGCUUGUCUCUGGACACGUUUUCAGGUAACGAUGGUGAAGAUUCCAGUGAGGCCAAACCUUAUAAAGAGCUGUUCCCUACGUGCAGACACAGCCGGACUGCCUAUCCAACGUCCAUGGCCAUUUCUUUCUUACUUACGUAAUCCUAAUCUUAUUCAGGAUGCAGAGACAACUUAAAAUAUAUAAUCUCCCGGAUUUCCUUGCAUAAUGUGGGCAUGUGAUACAUUUCUGGCCAAUGAAUGGGCACGGCAAAACCUCGUGAACAUGCCAAAAAGUAUUUAGGGGGAAGUGUACCAAUGUCUGCAAUUUCCUUCGAAAUGCCCCAGUUAAUCAAGACUAGGAAUUGAUGGAUGGACAGAGAGAGGCCAGCAGGACAGCUCACGACAAAGCAAGUAUGGGAAAACGUUAAUGACAGAAUCUAGGUGUCUGGUAUACAAACGCCUCCUGUAACAUACUUUCCACUUCGCCAUAUGUUUAAAAACUUCUUUUCAGAAUAAGAUGUUGGGAAACAAACGUCCUGUGGAGAAGGCGUCUGGCUCUUAGCUUUUCAUCUUUCUCCUUCUUUGUCCCGGACCAAAUGCAAAAAGGGCCGAGUCGUCUUACGAAAGCUCUGGAGAGUGAGCGGCCCACAGGACCUGAGAGCAGGCCGACAGAGCAGGAGCCUUCCUGACUGUAUGUCCUCACUGGGUGCCCCUGUCCUGUGACCCACACGGUCCUGUACAGUCUCCAUCAGAAGCCUUGGAAUAUUCUGCUGUGAUUCCUUACCUGUGUCUGUCUCCCCCACUGGACUAUAAGCUCUGUGGGGGCAGAACUGCACCUCUGUGUUGUCCGCGGCUGUAUCUCCAGCUCCUGGUUCUGGGCAGGGCGCCCAGGCAGAGCUGUGUGGAUGCGUGUUGAAAGCCAGCAGGAAUUACUACGCCAUCCAAACUUGCACACAGGAAUGUUCAACCCUCAUGACUGAAGCUGACGAGGGGUUUGCAAAUCUGAGUUCAAACACCCAAGAGUUGAUGAAACAUAAGCAAUGCUCAACCGGCCGUGAACGAAAAACGCUGAACCUUCCAUGCUUUUCUGAGCAGGCAGAACACACAGUCUGCCUUAAACGUGGUCUCCUCUGAAGAACUCCCAAGCAGACAGUGAGUGUCAUUGGAAUCCGGAAGGUAGGCUGGGCUCUGUCCUUUGGGGGAGGCGAAUUUUUAUUCUGUAGAGAAAGUUCUGCUCCUUGUCAUAAUGAAGUCCACUGGGGAGCUGCCCAUGUGUACCCGUUGGCAAGGCAUGUACUUGCAAUGGAAAACAAUGAAGUUUCCAGGAAGCACUGUCCACAAAUGUGCUCAUUUGUGCAAGAGCUGAUCCACAUGAGGGCUAACGGAUCUACGUGGUGUGGUUGGACCAGCUCGGAAAUCAUCAACCCUGUGUGGGUUUUCCUUGCACGACCGCAGGAGGAAGCAAGCAUCGGGAGCUUGGCUCUAUGAGAGGCUCUAAUAGCAGGCUUGAACAGUUUCUGGGCGGGUCAAAUAGACUUGAGCAUAUAGAGCGAUAGGUGGAGAUAGGCUGGGCUGCUUUGUGUUCAGGUUGUAUACCCAUUCUUCCUGAUUCCCUUCUUGAUCUCACACCAUCCCUUUAUUUAUUUUUAAAUUUUUAAAAUGUUUUUAUUUAUUUUUGAAGGAGAGAGAGAAA